This is a long non-coding RNA of Sphaerodactylus townsendi, 519 nucleotides long. RefSeq lists it as uncharacterized. NCBI's taxonomy places the organism in Eukaryota, Metazoa, Chordata, Lepidosauria, Squamata, Sphaerodactylidae. The transcript has 3 exons. The record is from RefSeq and is a predicted model, not a curated record.
GACUGUACUGUUCCUUGCCUGAGCCAACUCUUGAGUAAGUCAGCAGCAAGCCUGUGCCAGUAGCCAGGACUGAACAGGCCACCCCAGCCCAAGCUGUUUGCAGUGGAGGAGGAAGGCCUCACUGCACCUAGAAUGGCUCCAGUCGAGGCAGCAAGAGUGCGGCAAAGCCAGGAUUCAGCUUUGCAAACAUGUCUGACCAGAUACUCAGGAAAGCCCACAACAGAAUCACAAAAGGAAGAUUGCUCCUUGCUGCUGCUUCAAGGACAACUGGAAUAAUGCCUCAGGAAGAAGAAGAGUUUGGCUUUACACCCCACUUUUCUCAACCAGAAGGAGUCUCAAAGAGGCUUUCAAACUCUUUCCCUCCCCCUCCCCACAACAGGCACUUUGUGAGAUAGGUUCAUAUGAUUAUGGAAUGGGUCCCACUUACACUGCAAUUCUAAGAACACUUACCCGUGAGGAAGCCCAGCUGAAUAAAAUGGGACUUCUGAGUAUGCCUGCUUAGAAAUGCUCCCUUGGUAA